RNAcentral lists this transfer RNA (77 nucleotides) under Myxococcales bacterium. Its description in RNAcentral is "tRNA-Met". It matches the Rfam family "tRNA". From Rfam's summary of the family: Transfer RNA (tRNA) molecules are approximately 80 nucleotides in length. RNAcentral also lists the same sequence under 2 other names. The record is from RNAcentral. Lineage: Bacteria; Pseudomonadati; Myxococcota; Myxococcia; Myxococcales.
GCCGAAGUAGCUCAGCCGGUUAGAGCACGCGCUUCAUAAGCGCGGUGUCGCCAGUUCAAGUCUGGCCUUCGGCACCA